CAAGGCACUACUAAAAAACAACAAAACAAUAGAGAUCAUUAAUUAAGAAAAUAUUUUGAUAUUUUCUUCGAUGAGAAUUCUGGCUCCGUCGCUGUGUUUGAGCUCGGAAUGAUGAGAAAUUUGACACUCUGUUGGUGACUUUGGUCCCAAGAGUAUAAUGCCAUGUGUCCAUAUAGUGAUGAUAAUAAUGCUUGAUAUUCCUACAAAUAUUGUUUCACAAUUCCAUUGUACACGAUUUCUUGAACAAAGGUUAGAGCAAAAAG
Molecule: unclassified non-coding RNA, 263 nt
Filed under: Hevea brasiliensis (rubber tree)
Lineage: Eukaryota; Viridiplantae; Streptophyta; Magnoliopsida; Malpighiales; Euphorbiaceae
Source: RNAcentral